AAACUCUCCAACCAGAGUGGAGGAGGUCCCGGUACAAAAGAAAGUCAACACAAAACAAACAAUCUGAUGAGAAUGUGCCAUCUUGCUAACUCUGCUGAAUCCAACAAAGGCAUUAGAACAGACAUCACUUUCCUGAUAUGGGAACACUGGCUCAACCAAUGGCAUCAGUUUGGGGCGGGACUUGCUGUUUGGUCAUCCAAUGGCGGAUGAGUUUUUCCUCUCCCUCUUCCAGAAGGGUUGACAGCUCCAAACAAAACAGGGCCUGUGAGCUGACUGACACAUUCUGCUUCUGAAAGGGGAGCAUUUAACACGCCUCACACCCCGCACUGCCC
Molecule: long non-coding RNA, 332 nt
Organism: Carassius auratus (goldfish)
Lineage: Eukaryota; Metazoa; Chordata; Actinopteri; Cypriniformes; Cyprinidae
Exons: 3
Source: RefSeq, a predicted model, not a curated record